Oryza barthii is the source of this 208-nucleotide non-coding RNA. NCBI's taxonomy places the organism in Eukaryota, Viridiplantae, Streptophyta, Magnoliopsida, Poales, Poaceae. The record is from Rfam.
AAAAAGACAAACCCUGAGUUUCCGUGUCCAACUUUGACUGUCCGUCUUAUAUGAAAUUAUUUUAUAAUUCGUAUUUUCAUUGUUGUUAGAUGAUAAAACAUGAUUAAUAUUUUAUGUGUGACUUGUCUUUUUAAUUUUGUUUUCAUAAUUUUUUCAAAUAAGACAAACGGUCAAACGUUGGACACGGAAACCAAUGUUUGUCUUCUUU